RNAcentral lists this ribosomal RNA (304 nucleotides) under uncultured bacterium. Its description in RNAcentral is "partial 16S ribosomal RNA". It matches the Rfam family "Bacterial small subunit ribosomal RNA", at positions 506 to 807 of the family's 1533-position model. The record is from RNAcentral.
CAGCAGCAGCCGCGGUAAUACGAAGGGUGCAAGCGUUACUCGGAAUUACUGGGCGUAAAGCGUGCGUAGGUGGUGGUUUAAGUCCGUUGUGAAAGCCCUGGGCUCAACCUGGGAAUUGCAGUGGAUACUGGGUCACUAGAGUGUGGUAGAGGAUAGUGGAAUUUCCGGUGUAGCAGUGAAAUGCGUAGAGAUCGGAAGGAACAUCUGUGGCGAAGGCGACUAUCUGGGCCAACACUGACACUGAGGCACGAAAGCGUGGGGAGCAAACAGGAUUAGAUACCCGAGUAGUCCCUGUCUCUUAUAC